CUACGGGGUGCUGCAGUUAGGAAUAAUCUGCAAUGCGCGAAAGCGUGACAGUUUGAGCCAGAGUGCUUUCUUAUAGAAAGCUUUUGCUAAAUGUAAAAAGUUUGGCGAAUAAGGACUGGGUAAGACUAGUGCCAGCCGCCGCGGUAAUACUAGCGGUCCAAGUCGCAGCCAUCUUUAUUAGGUCUAAAACAUCCGUAGCUUGCUCAAUAAGUUUUUUGUGAAAUUUUAUGUCUUAAACAUAAAGCGAGCAAAAAGUACUGUUGAGCUAGAGACUGGGAGACGUAAAGAGUAUGUUUGAGGUAGCGGUAAAAUGUUUUAAUCUUAGACAGACUAACAAUAGCGAAGGCACUUUACGAGAACAGAUCUGACAGUAAGGGAUGAAGGCUAGGGGCGCAAAACGGAUUAGAUACCCUCGUAGUC
Molecule: ribosomal RNA, 420 nt
Filed under: uncultured archaeon
Lineage: Archaea
Description: partial 16S ribosomal RNA
Rfam family: Archaeal small subunit ribosomal RNA
Source: RNAcentral